GCAUCGGUGGUUCAGUGGUAGAAUGCCACGCGGGCGGUCCGGGUUCGAUUCCCGGCUGAUGCA
This 63-nucleotide transfer RNA is filed under the name Cordylochernes scorpioides. Its description in RNAcentral is "tRNA-OTHER". It matches the Rfam family "tRNA". Rfam says of the family: Transfer RNA (tRNA) molecules are approximately 80 nucleotides in length. Their secondary structure includes four short double-helical elements and three loops (D, anti-codon, and T loops). Further hydrogen bonds mediate the characteristic L-shaped molecular structure. tRNAs have two regions of fundamental functional importance: the anti-codon, which is responsible for specific mRNA codon recognition, and the 3' end, to which the tRNAs corresponding amino acid is attached (by aminoacyl-tRNA synthetases). tRNAs cope with the degeneracy of the genetic code in two manners: having more than one tRNA (with a specific anti-codon) for a particular amino acid; and 'wobble' base-pairing, i.e. permitting non-standard base-pairing at the 3rd anti-codon position. Lineage: Eukaryota; Metazoa; Arthropoda; Arachnida; Pseudoscorpiones; Chernetidae. The record is from RNAcentral.